UAAUGUCUAGCCUAGUAGUUAGGGCACUUACCUGGGAAGCAGGAGAUGGAGGUUUUAAUCCCUCAGGUUAA
This 71-nucleotide transfer RNA is filed under the name Alligator mississippiensis (American alligator). It matches the Rfam family "tRNA". From Rfam's summary of the family: Transfer RNA (tRNA) molecules are approximately 80 nucleotides in length. Their secondary structure includes four short double-helical elements and three loops (D, anti-codon, and T loops). Lineage: Eukaryota; Metazoa; Chordata; Crocodylia; Alligatoridae. The record is from Rfam by way of RNAcentral.